Long non-coding RNA from Astatotilapia calliptera (eastern happy), 1212 nucleotides. The record is from Ensembl. NCBI's taxonomy places the organism in Eukaryota, Metazoa, Chordata, Actinopteri, Cichliformes, Cichlidae.
AUGUAACCCUGGUAAGAUUUACAGCAAUCAGAAGUACAGGGUUCUUUGAAUGCAUCGUAGUCCUUGUCUGAUAGUUUAAUUUCCGGGCUUGCCCUGAAGGCACCAUCUGCAGCUCCGUGCGCGUGAAGGUGUGGUGUAGAGGAAAAAGGACGGCAAGGAAAAACUCCAUGCUGCCGCGGAGCACGGUUUUUUCCAGUUGAAAGAGAGGAAAGAGGUUUAAUUAACAUUUGUGAGAGAGCUGUCGUUAGCGGUGAACCACAGACGGGUACCUACCUGAAAGGAGCCGGAGUAUUUCUUUGAACUUUUUGAACUAUUCUGACUGACUGGUUUUUUUUUUGAGGUACAGUUCCAUGGGUGCCAAGUGAGGAGCUGGUAUCGUGGGUCUAAGACACUGUUGCUGCUGUGGAGGCCUUCUCUGUGUCAGGACGCCGACACGUUGAUGCCUGCCGUACCAGGAGGGCGGUAGGGAAAAAACAAAAGGAAGCCCACCUGAGAGAUACCUUAUCAUUUUCUUUGCUACUUUUUCUCCGCCUGAGAUUCAGGUCGUUUUCAGUUCUUAACCCAGGACAGUGGGUAACUGAAUAAACUGACACCAUAAGGAACUGGACACUCACAUGCUAUUUUCUUUUCUUUUUCCUUUUCUUUGGGGUGUUGAAAUAUUGUGUUUCUUGUCUUACAUCUAUUUUGAUUGUUUCAAUUAUUUUUGUGAUGCAUUUGAGAUGGUUACUGCAUUUGAAGGUAUCCCUACAUUGAGGAUGAGCAAAGGGAACUGAUCCAAAAGGAAAUAUAUAAAGCAAACUUUGUUUCAUAAACCUGUGGUCGUGCGUGUUAUGUGGGUUGGAAGUCUCAUUGCUCUUACAGAGUUGCUACCGCCAAUCUCCUUCCCAAACCUAGAUUCGGAUAUUGUAGACAUUGCACUUGGGCGAGCAGUAUAGAUCAUCUCUUUAUAGAUAGAGGGACACACGUCCAGGUUACAUUUAGUUAUAUUGUGACUUACUCUCACAGAAGAUACAGAUGCCACAAACAGACUUUGAACAACGCAUGUGCUUGUAUGCACCACAUUUCUGGCACUGCACCUGUGAAUUAAAAAAAAAAGAAGAAGAAGAAAUAAACAAACAAAAAACAAAUGAACAAAGUCCAUUAAAUAAACAAUCUAUAUGGCUAAGGACAUGUCAUAGUGUACCCGGUCUUUGGCUGCAAUCACACACCAGC